UAAUAGCGUAUACUAAUGUUGUUGCAGUUAAAAAGCUCGUAGUUGAAAAUUGAAUAUUUUAAUAAGUUUGGUCUUUAUUUUUAUAUUGACUACUUAUUAAUAUUCUUCCUACUAGUAACUCGAUACUGAUCUUAAUUGAUUGGUAUAGCAAGUUUUCGAAUUUGUCAAUAUUUGUAUAUAGCUCCUCUAAUUUUAUGGAUAGGUGUAAAAGUCUUGAAAUAUAUUAUGUGGAUCAAGUUAUUUAUUUAUAUUGGAGUUCUAGUUCAUUUACUUUGAGAAAAUUAGAGUGUUUAAAGCAGCCUCUUGGGGCUUUGAAUAUAUUAGCAUGGGAUAAUAAAAUAGGAUUUAAAUUAAUAUAUUUGUUGGUUUGAAUUUAUUUAAAUAAUGAUUAAUAGGGACAGUUGGGGGUAUUUAUAUUGGAUGGUUAGCGGUGAAAUGCGUGGAUCCAUUCAAGAUAAACUAAAGCGAAAGCAUUUACCAAGGAUGUUUUCAUUAA
This 496-nucleotide ribosomal RNA is filed under the name uncultured eukaryote. Its description in RNAcentral is "partial 18S ribosomal RNA". It matches the Rfam family "Eukaryotic small subunit ribosomal RNA", at positions 592 to 976 of the family's 1831-position model. The record is from RNAcentral.